GUCCUGACAGAGAGACAGAGACACACAGAGGCGAGGCUCUGAAAGCAGAAAAGGACACUUUCUUCUUCCGAAAGCUGGACAUCUUCCAAAACUUCUGCAGCUCAAAACAACAAGAACUAUCCACAUCAGAUUUCCACAAAAAAGACCUUAAAAAUGGCCUCCAAAUGUUUGAACUUCAGGCUUGCUUCUGGCGAAAGAGGGGGUGAGAGUUGGUCUUGGACUUCAGACUGUUGACCAAGACUUUGCCAGUCUCAGAAUACCAAUACGCCACCUUAUAACCCAGGCAGUAUCACACCAGGCGAACAAUAGAGCCCUAAAAUUCAGAGCUAUGUAUGCCUAUUAAACAAAAUUAAGGUUGCGUGUUCAGAAAACAUCAAAAUAUGACUUCAUUUAUUUUUUCCAGCCUUAUCUUUUUGAAAGUAGUUCAGAAAAGAGUUGCUGCAGAGAAAGUGUGAUUUUGUUCGUGUUUAAAACCAGUGUGGAAGCAUGUAUGUCAUGUUGUCAGGGCUUAGUGUGAUUUUCUUCUCUUGUUCUUGUUGUUUCAGGCAAAUCCACUCAGAGACCUCUGGCCUGUGAGACCAACAGAGGAGAGAAACAGCACGAGAAAGAAAACAGACCGACAGCCAAACAUAGAAAGCAAAAGAGAGCGAGAGAGAGAGAGAG
Molecule: non-coding RNA, 663 nt
Organism: Xyrichtys novacula (pearly razorfish)
Lineage: Eukaryota; Metazoa; Chordata; Actinopteri; Labriformes; Labridae
Source: the annotation of a GenBank genome assembly